AGUUUUGUAAAAAAAAUAUCGAUGUCUUUGAUUUGUGGAGAGCCGGGCGGCCCUCUCUUAUCAGAGCCGCUAUUGAGUUUAUACAAAUCACCCAUGUCAGGGUGUGCAUUCCUGACAUAUUUCAAUCCAGAAAGUGCAUCAAAUGCACAAAGCGCCCUCCAUGAAAAACGGACGCUACC
Melitaea cinxia (Glanville fritillary) is the source of this 179-nucleotide long non-coding RNA. RefSeq lists it as uncharacterized. NCBI's taxonomy places the organism in Eukaryota, Metazoa, Arthropoda, Insecta, Lepidoptera, Nymphalidae. The transcript has 3 exons. The record is from RefSeq and is a predicted model, not a curated record.